GUUUAAACGAAAAUUAAUUCCUCUUAGGAAUUGAAAC
Molecule: non-coding RNA, 37 nt
Filed under: Hyella patelloides LEGE 07179
Lineage: Bacteria; Bacillati; Cyanobacteriota; Cyanophyceae; Pleurocapsales; Pleurocapsaceae
Source: RNAcentral